This 5908-nucleotide long non-coding RNA is filed under the name Sus scrofa (pig). RNAcentral describes it as "lncRNA (ENSSSCG00000059534.1)". The record is from RNAcentral. Lineage: Eukaryota; Metazoa; Chordata; Mammalia; Artiodactyla; Suidae.
UUACUCAUUUUUUUAUAUCACUUCAAAUAUGGGUGCUUUCUCCCUCUAUACCCCAUGCAGACUGUGGGCUCCAUGAAGUCAAGAAUCAUUUUGCACAUUUCUUGUAUCAGUUGUAGUAUUAAGCACAAUAUUGGAUGUUUGUUGAUUGACAAGCUGUUUCUCCAGCUUGCAAACAAUGAAAACCAUUUCCCAAACUCUUUUUUUUUCUCCUGUUAAUUUGGGUGUUAGCUAGCAUCAUCUUAUAAGCCAAACAAUUAUUAGAGUUACUAGAAGCAACACAAAAUAUGCUCCCAAGUUCAAUAAGCAAAAGCAAUUGAUCUAAAUGACAAGCUCCAUGUACUGAAAGAGGCCAUGCAUUCAUCUUUCUGUGGGAUCAAUUUGGGGCAGAUGCCAUAUCACUUUUCUUGUAAAACAAGCAGUGAUUUUGUGUUCACUAUAAUGGAUGUAUUCUAUUUCUACAUCUUGAAUCAACAUGGCUUUUACCUGAGUUUACUAAUAAUAGCUACAUUUAUUGAGUGCCUACUAUGCAGAGGUGUGCUGAUAAAUAGGCUCUCGAGGGAAAAAAAAUCCCUGCUUUGUAGCAUCUCCUGAUAUCCAUGGAGGAAACACUCUAGCCACAGUUAAUUUCAAGCUCCCAACAUGACAUAAUUGACCGCACGGACAGCCCCACCUCCUCUACUAUGGCUGGUGCUAUACAUGUAUUAGCAAUAAUUUUCACAGUGUCCCUGCAAAGAAGACAUUAUUCUUCCCAUCCUGCUGAUGAGAGAACAGGCUUGGAAAACACUUUGCCCCAAAUCGCACAGCUAGGAAGAGGUGACCUAGGGUUUAAACCAAGGUCCACAUGAUUCCCAAACCUCUCAUCUUUCCAGGACACCACAUUUCCUUGCCAUGCCACUGGGAAUGAAUGGAUGGGUGUGGUGGCCCGCUAGUCACAAAUCCUGGCAGGACUGGGUGAGUGGCAUGGUGUCCAGAGACCCAAGAGUACCCAAGUACUAUGGACCCAACCUGAAGAGACAUGGACUUUCUCACAGCUUACAAGAUGCCGCCCAUCGGGCUAGUCGGGCAGUUGUUACCUUGUUUGGUUCUGGCACGUUUCCAUGUGAUGUCAUUAACCCGGCCAUGUGGUACUUACCACAUGUCCAGCAGCACCAUGUGUUGUCACCGUGUCCAGGGGAGACUGUGGAAGGAGGGGAGCCCCUCACAGGAGGGGGUGGAAAGGACACAGCCAUGCCUGUCCCUCCAACAUUUUGCUGGCCACCCAAGUGCGUCAACUUCAGCAAUGCUGUCGUGUGAGCAGAAAGGGGAUUUUCAGCACAGCCCAAAGGUAGUUUCAAAUGACUUCUGCUGGUUAGGUUUCUUUCUUCUGGUACCUCCAGGUCUGCCAACUUCUCCCUGCCUUUAAAACUGGGUACAAUGGUGUUCCUUUCUUUAUAUCCCCAGAGGAUUAAUGCAUUAAUGUCUGUGAAGGCUGUAAAACCCUCAGAUGACAGGAAGUGUACAAAUACAUAAUGCUUUUUUAUUAUGCAUGUUAAAUGUACGUAGGUCUUUUGGUGGUAUUUUCCUCCUGUGACUUGGUUUUCUGGAUGUGACAGCUUGCUAUCAUAAGACUCAGAUGUAACCAGAGCAAACAAAAUAAUUCCUUUCCAUAUUCAUUGCUGUUGUAAAAGGGUCUUGUGUUAUGAAAGGAUGAUAAUGACAAAAAUAAUAAUACCUGUGUCUAGGUAACACCUUUCUUCUGAGGAGCUCAAAGCACUUUACAGACACAAGAAGAGUCAUCAACAGACAAUUUAUAGGGAAAAAAAAUUGACUCAUGUUUUAAGAAGUUACUCUGUGGGGGAUAAUGGUUCUGUUAUUUUCACAAAUUGACUGGCAAACACAAUAUCUAUUUCUGGUCUAAACCAGGAAUAAAAGUGCCAUGUAGGAGGGAAGCAGGGGGACUUGGGGUGAGCAAAGGGAUCAAGAGAGCUCUUCUUCUGGUCAUUUACCUGAACACAGUCUAGACGUAGUCUGGAACAAUCCUGACCCUAAGUGACCCGGUGACAAAAGGCUGCUCAUUGGCCUGGAAGUUACUAUGAAGACACAACUGCCUGGGAGACCUUCCUGGGGGUCCAGAUGGAGCUUGUUGGAUCACCCCAGCAGAUGCUCAGGAUGUUGAAGCUGGGAACUUGCCCACAGAGCAUCUCUCCUAAAUGAAUUGUAGGCCCCACCUGCUUCUUAAAUAUUUCCCUCCUGCAUUUCCCUAAGACUUCUUGGUUUACCUCCUGAUAUUCACCCCAAAUCCUCAAGCCACACACCACCAGCUGCAGAUCUCAGAGGUGACUUGGAUCAGAUUGUAGAAAAUCUGAUCAUGUACAGAGCAGCCACUCUGUAAAGCACAGCCCUGGGCACCUGGGGGAAGAGGGGGGAGGAUGGAAAGGGGGAAAAUAUUGAUGAAGUAACAUAGUAGGUAUUGUACCAGGUUUAUUACAAAUACUGUCUCAUUUGAUCCUCAUCAAAAGACCCAGUGGGAGUUUCUGUUGUGGCUCAGCAGGUUAAGGACUCAAUGUUGUCUCUGUGAGGAUGUGGGUUCAAUCCCUGGCUUCACUCGGUAGGUCAAGGAUCUUGUGUUGCUGAAAGCUGCAGCAUAGGUCAUAGAUGCAGCUAAGAUCUGGCAUUGCUGUGGCUGUGGCAUAGGCCCCAGCUGCAGUUCCCAUUCAGCCUCUAGCAUGGGAACUUCUAUAGGCUGCAGGUGCAGCCAUAAAAAGAAAAAAAAUAAAAAAGACCCAGUGAUGGGAACAUGUUAUUCCCAUUUUCAGAUGAGGGAAUCAAGGCUUAGAGAGGUUAAAUCAUUUUUCAAAGGCCACACAGCUAUCAAGAGGCAGAAUCAGGACAAAAAAUUCAGGACAACCUGGUCUUUCCUCUUUAGUAGGAACUUUGGGAGAGGACCUGAGGGGAAGUUGAUUGCUACUGGCUAGAGAAGGCAUUGCCUUAAAGAUUAUGGUUAAGAGGUGGAAACUGAGAAAUUGCCACAAACCCAGGGUAUAUGGAGACCAACAUUCCAGCAGUUAUGAACAGAAUAAACUGCAGAUGAGAGAGAGACUGAGAGAAGGGAAGUUGGCAGGAUGUCUCUGGAUAAGAGAUGAUGGAGCAGGCAUCACCCAGAUGAGGAAGGCAGAGUCUGCAGAACACUGUAGAGAAAGAACUUUGAGGGUGGAUUAUCUGUGGGAUAAAAGAGUCAAAGAUGUCACUGGUGUCAAAGAUGACACAGGGUGGUGGAUCUUAAUGUACGUUGAGUCAAGACCCUUUUGAUAUUCAAAUAAAAGCAGUGCCAACCCAGUCUGGCCCAGUGUCUCCAGGAAAACCCCAGGCCACACCUGCACCAUCUCCAGCUGUUCCUGCCAAGGCAGCCCUGGCCCCAACCUGCCCCUCUCCAGCUCAGCUGACCUGCCCAAACCACUGGUACACACAGUCUAUGUAUGACACGGUCCUGCACAAGGUGACACUUUCAAGACAAGGAGAGGAAGCUGUUUCACUUAAUUCAUAGAAACAAAUACAGGGAGUCAAAAAAAUGGAGAGACAGAGAAAAAUAUUCCAAAUGAAAGAAUAAGGUAAACCACAGGGGGACAAAAGACCUCUAAUGAAAUGGAGAUAAGUAAUUUACCUAAUAAAGACUUCAAAGAUUAUGAUCAUAAAAAUGCUCACUGAGCUCAGAAGAUUGGAGGAAUGCAAUGAGAACUUCAACAAACUGUCAUAUAUAUGUUUAUAUUAAUAUCAUAUUUAAUAUUAAUCAUCCUAAAAUGGGUAUAGAGUCACAAAAGACACCAAUCCCAAAAACAAUCUUGAGAAAGAAGAACAGAACUGAAGGAAUCACGUUCCCUGAUUUCAGAAGUAUACUAGAAAGGUACAGUAAUCAAAACAGUAUGGUAAUGGCACAAAAACAGACACAUAGAUCAAUGGAACAGAAUAGAGAUCCCAGAAAUAAACCCACACUUCUAUGGUUAAUUAAUCUAUGACAAAGGAGGCAAGAAUGUACAGUGGAGAAAAGACAGUCUCUUCAAUAAGUGGUGUUGGGAAAAUUAGACACAUACAUGUGAAAGAAUGAAGCCAGACCACUUUCUUACACCAUGCACAAAAAUAAACUCUACAUGGAUUAAAGACUUGUAAGACCUGAAACCAUAAAAUUCCUAGAAGAAAACACAGGCAGUACACUCUUCGACACUAGUCUUAGCAAUGUUUUUUUGGAUCUGUCUCCUUGAGCAAGGGCAAUAAAAGCAAAAAUAAACAAAUGAGACUACAUCAAACUAAAAGGCUUUUGUCCAGUGAAGGAAACCAACAAUAAAAAGAAAAUGCAACCUACUGAAUGGAAGAUGGUAUUUUCAAAAGAUAUAUCCAUUAAGAGGUGAGUACUCAAAAUAUAUAAAGAAUUCAUACAACCUAAUAUUAAAAAAUCUGACUAAAAAAUGAGCCGAGGACCUGAACAGGCAUUUUCCAAAGAAAAAACUAGAGAUGGCCAACAGGUACAUGGAAAGAUGCCAGGCAUCGCUAAUCAUCAGGGAAAUGCAAAACAAAACCAUGAUGAGAUAUCAGCUCACACCUUUGUUAGACUGGUCAUUUCAAAAUGAUAAGAAAUAACAAGUGUUGGUAAGGAUGUGUGGAAAGGGGAACAUUUGUGCACUGCUGGUGGGAAGGUAAAUUGGUGCAACCACCAUGGAAAACAGUACGGGGGUUCCUCAAACAACUAAUAGAAUUAGCAUGCAAUCCAGAAUUCAACUUGUGGGUAUUUAUCCAAAGAAAAUGAAAACACCCAUUCAAAAAGAUAUACACCCCCCCCAAUGUCCAUAGCCACAUUAUCUAUAAUAGCCAAGAUACAAAAGCAGCCUCAGUGUCCAUCAACACGUGAAUGAAUGAAUGAACAGCAGCAGGGAGUGAGGAUGGGCAAAAUAGGUGAAGGGGAUUAAGAGGUACAAACUUCCAGUUAUAAAAUAAAUAAACCCCGGGAUGUAAUGUACAGCAUAGGGAAUGCGGUCAAUGAUACUGUAAUACGUUGGUACAGUGACAGAUGGUAACUAGACUUCCAGUGGUGGUGUUUUCAUAAUAUAGUACAAUACCAAAUCACCAUGUUGUCUGCCUGAAAGGAAUAUAAUAUCGUAUGAUUCAAUUAUUUGAAAUUAUUCUAAAUAAUUUGGAAGGUCCCAUAUUUUACUGCCUUGUGAAAUAAAACUUCUUCACUAUGAACAAAAAUGAAGGCAGUGGAUCCUUCUACAAAAUGCACACAGCCCACUCAAACACAGACAUUUUUUCGAAGAGUUUCUGGUUCUAGGUCAGGGACCCUAGCUCUGGGAGGAGCCGACCAGAGCGGGAACAUCAGUACCAUGUAUUUUGGGCUUGGAAGUUUGUCUUUCUGCAAAGAAAGGUGGGAAAGACAAAGCAAAGUCAGGAAGGCUCAGGGCACCUGGAGAAGAAAGCAAGAAAGGUCCUCAGCAGUGGUUUCUCUCUGUGUAGAGGAGAAAUAAGAAGCCCUCAGAUCCAACUCAGAACCCACUUGGCUUCCCCCAAUUUAAUGUUGACGCUGCCAGUGUGAGAGCAGCCCGCUACCGCCACCCUGCCCCCAACCCAGGGGCCUCAAAACCUACCCUCAUGAAGGCACUGGGGGAAGAUGUAGCUAGUGGUGUUUACUUCAUCCUGUCCACGCUACAUUGGUGGAGAUGGUUAUUUCACUCUUUAAUUACUGUUCUGUUUUAGCCCUUGUAUCUGAAAUACCUUGAUUUUCUUUAAUAUCCAUUGUCUAGAGCUUUGCUUUUUCCUAAGAACCUGAUAAUUAUUCGCAUUUCCAUGUAUCGGGAGGGUUUAGUACAUUUUAUUUGUAGGAAACUGAUCUCCAAGGAUUUCUUUUUGAAAACGCCUUUCCCUCUCAAUAUACAUUCCUUCC